Molecule: ribosomal RNA, 254 nt
Filed under: uncultured bacterium
Lineage: Bacteria
Description: partial 16S ribosomal RNA
Rfam family: Bacterial small subunit ribosomal RNA
Source: RNAcentral
CACGUAGGGGGCAAGCGUUGUCCUGAUUUAUUGGGCGUAAAGAGCUCGUAGGUGGUUCGGUAAGUCGGGUGUUAAACCCCCAGGCUCAACCUGGGGACGCCACUCGAUACUGCUGUGACUAGAGUCCGGUAGGGGAGCGUGGAAUUCCUGGUGUAGCGGUGAAAUGCGCAGAUAUCAGGAGAAACACCAGCGGCGAAGGCGGCGCUCUGGGCCGGUACUGACACUGAGGAGCGAAAGCGUGGGUAGCAAACAGG